GCCUACGGGGCAGCAGUGGGGGAUAUUGCACAAUGGGGGGAACCCUGAUGCAGCGACGCCGCGUGGGUGAAGAAGCGCCUCGGCGCGUAAAGCCCUGUCAGCAGGGAAGAAAAUGACGGUACCUGAAGAAGAAGCCCCGGCUAACUACGUGCCAGCAGCCGCGGUAAUACGUAGGGGGCAAGCGUUAUCCGGAUUUACUGGGUGUAAAGGGGGCGCAGACGGCGAUGCAAGCCAGGAGUGAAAGCCCGGGGCCCAACCCCGGAACUGCUCUGGAAACUGUGCGGCUAGAGUACUGGAGGGGCAGG
This 305-nucleotide ribosomal RNA is filed under the name uncultured bacterium. Its description in RNAcentral is "bacterial SSU rRNA". It matches the Rfam family "Bacterial small subunit ribosomal RNA", at positions 335 to 661 of the family's 1533-position model. The record is from RNAcentral.